CUGAAAGAACUUGCCAGGGUCUGGGCCCAGGUUCCACGAACGCCGUCUGGACCGGCAGCGGCCGCCGGUGAAGGGCGAUUGUGUCCCUGGGAACUGGUGAUAGCAGAGGUCGUGACAAAGGAAAAGUAAGGGACAGGGAAGGCGAGCUCACGCGGGUGAAGAAACGUCAGGAGGUCGUCUGUGUGCUGCUGGCUGUUAACUGGCCGAGUCCACACAGAGGCCCCGUGUCACCACAGAGGGCCCGGCCCAUUAACACCGAACAGCUUGAGAAUACACUCCUCAUUGAUCAGAUAAACAAGUCGUGAGAUACUUUAUUACAAAAUGAUGGACCAAUUUAGCCAUCUUUUCACCCGCGAU
This 357-nucleotide long non-coding RNA is filed under the name Felis catus (domestic cat). Its description in RNAcentral is "lncRNA (ENSFCAG00000045213.2)". Lineage: Eukaryota; Metazoa; Chordata; Mammalia; Carnivora; Felidae. The record is from RNAcentral.